RNAcentral lists this long non-coding RNA (285 nucleotides) under Populus trichocarpa (black cottonwood). RNAcentral's name for it is "long non-coding RNA (PTRI_LNC000865)". The record is from RNAcentral. Lineage: Eukaryota; Viridiplantae; Streptophyta; Magnoliopsida; Malpighiales; Salicaceae.
UUUUUUGUUAUUUUUUUAAUUUCAUCCUUUUCUAUUUAGUUAAUUUAUGGUUAGGGUUGAUAAUUUGUCAAGGUUAAUUUCAUGAAAGUUUCUUGAAAGGUUUUAAAAAGAUUUUUUUUCUUUAUUUUUUUUCAAUUUUAUUAUUCAAUAUUGAGUUUUUUUUAUUGAUUUUUUUCAAUUUCAUCUUUCAACAUUUAGUUGAUUGAGAAUUAAACUUUAUAACUUGUUUCGUUUUUCUUUCUAUGGGGUUAUCAUAGUCUCCAACAAACAUCGUAAUAUUAGGUU